RNAcentral lists this ribosomal RNA (457 nucleotides) under uncultured bacterium. RNAcentral describes it as "bacterial SSU rRNA". It matches the Rfam family "Bacterial small subunit ribosomal RNA", at positions 340 to 784 of the family's 1533-position model. The record is from RNAcentral.
UACGGGAGGCAGCAGUGGGGAAUAUUGCACAAUGGGCGAAAGCCUGAUGCAGCUAUGCCGCGUGUAUGAAGAAGGCCUUAGGGUUGUAAAGUACUUUCAUCGGGGAGGAAAAACAAAACUAAUAAUUUUAUUUUCUUUGACGUUACCCGAAAAAGAAGCACCGGCUAACUCCGUGCCAGCAGCCGCGGUAAUACGGAGGGUGCUAGCGUUAAUCAGAAUUACUGGGCGUAAAGAGCACGUAGGGUGGUUUUUUUAAAGUCAGAUGUGAAAUCCCUGGGCUUAACCUAGGAACUGCAUUUUGAAACUGAAAUACUAGAGUAUCGUAGAGGGAGGUAGAAUUCUAGGUGUAGCGGUGAAAUGCGUAGAUAUCUGGAGGAAUACCUGUGGCGAAAGCGGCCUCCUAAACGAAUACUGACACUGAGGUGCGAAAGCGUGGGGAGCAAACAGGGAUUAGGAU